Lepidothrix coronata (blue-crowned manakin) is the source of this 731-nucleotide long non-coding RNA. RefSeq lists it as uncharacterized. The record is from RefSeq and is a predicted model, not a curated record. The transcript is spliced from 3 exons. NCBI's taxonomy places the organism in Eukaryota, Metazoa, Chordata, Aves, Passeriformes, Pipridae.
CCUGCCUAGAGGUCAUGUGGAGUCUGUAGGCAGACUGGUGUGUAGUUCAGGGCAUGGCUAAGUGCAGCACCAUUCACAAAAGGCAAUGUGUUAAGAAGCCUGUUCCUGGCUCUAUACCAUCAUGAUUUUGUUGCAGGAAACAUCUAUGCUAAACAUCACUGUCAAUUCCAAGACAAGAGACACAUUCAAAAGCACAUGUAAACUUUUUUUGUUACCAUAAGUUGCCCGCAGAGAGUCCAUUCAUUCUGUUUGCUUGUUCCACUGUGUAAUAGCUCAACUCAAGUAUCAACAAGAUAAGCUUUUAAAAGCAGAAUAUUCCCAGCUGUUGCGGUCAGGCAGCAGCAGCAGGUUCCUAUCUGAGGACAGCAGAACAAUCCAGUGCACUCGCAGUGAUGGCAGUGUCGAGGGGAAGCAUGUGUUCUCUGUACACAGUAGCGAAGGGUCCAAUAGACAGCAAUUAGCACCAGCAGAAUGAAGAUGAACGGUCAUAUACAUAACCUUAAUAAAAAUGUCACAGAAGAGAAAUCUCACACCAUAUGGAUCCAUGCUGAACUUUUUUUCCUUUUUUUUUUUUUUUUUUAGGAGCAAGACAGCAAGACAGCUCCAUUUCUUUAUGGUCUUCUGCAUUAGUUUCUCUCCCUAGUUUUUUGCAGCCUUCUUCCUCCCUAAGCAACAUGCAGCUGCUGAUUCAUGUGAUAACAAAAGAAGAUUAUAUUUUCAUUUCUGUAUUU